CAGGGAUUCCAGAGGAACUGGUCCCAAUGGUCUCCUGGUGAGGAGGUGAUGGCCGGAAGAACAUGGCAGAGGGCAAAACAAAACAGCAUUGGGAACAAGCUCUGUUUAAAAGGAGACUUGUGAACAGCAAAGAGUAGAAAGGGUUCUCUUACAACUGAAGCCCAUGGAAGACAAAUGUGUACUGCGUGAGUUUUAAGGCAAUAGGAGUAGUGGGACCUAGGGCACACCAGAGAGCAUAUUAACUCUCAAACUUUUAAAAACAUUAUAUCUGCUGGACACAGUGGCUCACACCUUAAUCCUACAACUUUGGGAGGCCGAGGCGGGCGGGUGUAGCUUGAGCCCAGGAGUUCGAGACCAACCUGGGCAACAUGGCAAAAUCCCGUCCCUACAAAACAAACAAACAAAAAACAAAAUUAGCCAGGCACGGUGAUGCGUACCUGUGGUCCCAGCUACUCAGAGGCUGAGGUGGGAGGAUCGCUUGAGCCCCGGGAGGUUAAGGCUGCAGUGAGCCAUGAUAAUGCCACUGCAUCUCAGCCUGGGCAACAGAGGGAGAACCUGUCUCAAAACAAAAACAAAAACACACCAUACCCAACCACAAUGCAUCUGUCUUAAGUACCAGUACCACACCCCUCUACUCACUACUAAAUAGGUGAGUUCCCAAUCCCUGGUAGCAGGUUUAAGCAUGUUAUAUUAAAGGUCUUAGGCUAGUGACUCAUUCACUCAUUAAACAAAUACUUAUUGUGCAUCUACUAUAAACUAAGUACUGUGCUAGGUACAAAAGCAAAUAAUCUAAGCUCUAUAAACUUUACUUUCUUCAUCAACAAAAUGGAGAUGUUUUAGGCAUCUACUCAUCAUUCUGAGCUCCAUCUUUUGUGACUGUAGUUGGCAGAGCUUUUUAUCAGUUUCUCUAAAUAGCUCUACCAGUCCCUGGUGGAUGCUGGCAUGCCCAAAGGAUCCAUCCUGAUGGCCCUGUCUGCUUACCUUACCUGC
Molecule: long non-coding RNA, 990 nt
Filed under: Homo sapiens (human)
Lineage: Eukaryota; Metazoa; Chordata; Mammalia; Primates; Hominidae
Description: non-protein coding lnc-HIST1H1A-1:2
Source: RNAcentral